UCGGGCCUCAUGCCAUCAGAUGUGCCCAGAUGGGAUUAGCUAGUAGGUGGGGUAACGGCUCACCUAGGCGACGUCCCUAGCUGGUCUGAGAGGAUGACCAGCCACAUGGAACUGAGACACGGUCCAGACUCCUACGGGAGGCAGCAGUGGGGAAUAUUGCACAAUGGGCGCAAGCCUGAUGCAGCCAUGCCGCGUGUGUGAAGAAGGCCUUCGGGUUGUAAAGCACUUUCAGCGGGGAGGAAGGCGUUAAGGUUAAUAACCUUGGGGAUUGACGUUACCCGCAGAAGAAGCACCGGCUAACUCCGUGCCAGCAGCCGCGGUAAUACGGAGGGUGCAAGCGUUAAUCGGAAUUACUGGGCGUAAAGCGCACGCAGGCGGUCUGUCAAGUCGGAUGUGAAAUCCCCGGGCUCAACCUGGGAACUGCAUUCGAAACUGGCAGGCUAGAGUCUUGUAGAGGGGGGUAGAAUUCCAGGUGUAGCGGUGAAAUGCGUAGAGAUCUGGAGGAAUACCGGUGGCGAAGGCGGCCCCCU
This 530-nucleotide ribosomal RNA is filed under the name Klebsiella pneumoniae. Its description in RNAcentral is "bacterial SSU rRNA". It matches the Rfam family "Bacterial small subunit ribosomal RNA", at positions 202 to 730 of the family's 1533-position model. The record is from RNAcentral. Lineage: Bacteria; Pseudomonadati; Pseudomonadota; Gammaproteobacteria; Enterobacterales; Enterobacteriaceae.